Molecule: ribosomal RNA, 559 nt
Filed under: uncultured bacterium
Lineage: Bacteria
Description: bacterial SSU rRNA
Rfam family: Bacterial small subunit ribosomal RNA
Source: RNAcentral
AGUUUGAUCCUGGCUCAGGAUGAACGCUGGCGGCGUGCCUAAUACAUGCAAGUCGAACGCUUUGUGGUUCAACUGAUUUGAAGAGCUUGCUCAGAUAUGACGAUGGACAUUGCAAAGAGUGGCGAACGGGUGAGUAACACGUGGGAAACCUACCUCUUAGCAGGGGAUAACAUUUGGAAACAGAUGCUAAUACCGUAUAACAAUAGCAACCGCAUGGUUGCUACUUAAAAGAUGGUUCUGCUAUCACUAAGAGAUGGCCCCGCGGUGCAUUAGUUAGUUGGUGAGGUAAUGGCUCACCAAGACGAUGAUGCAUAGCCGAGUUGAGAGACUGAUCGGCCACAAUGGGACUGAGACACGGCCCAUACUCCUACGGGAGGCAGCAGUAGGGAAUCUUCCACAAUGGGCGAAAGCCUGAUGGAGCAACGCCGCGUGUGUGAUGAAGGGUUUCGGCUCGUAAAACACUGUUGUAAGAGAAGAAUGACAUUGAGAGUAACUGUUCAAUGUGUGACGGUAUCUUACCAGAAAGGAACGGCUAAAUACGUGCCAGCAGCCGCGGUAA